AAGAGGAUCAUCUCCGACCUGUGUAAACUCUAUAACCUCCCUCAGCAUCCAGAUGUGGAGAUGCUGGAUCAGCCCUUGCCAGCCGAGCAGUGUACACAGGAAGACGUGUCUUCAGAAGAUGAAGAUGAAGAGAUGCCUGAGGACACAGAAGACCUAGAUCACUAUGAGAUGAAAGAAGAAGAGCCAGCUGAGGGCAAGAAAUCUGAAGAUGAUGGCAUCGGAAAAGAAAACUUGGCCAUACUAGAGAAAAUUAAAAA
This is a non-coding RNA of Odocoileus virginianus texanus, 257 nucleotides long. The record is from RefSeq and is a predicted model, not a curated record. NCBI's taxonomy places the organism in Eukaryota, Metazoa, Chordata, Mammalia, Artiodactyla, Cervidae.